UGAUAAAAUGGGCCAGAAUUGCCCAAAGAGAGCAAAAAAAUCUGUCGCUUCAAAAUCUAUGUUUUUGUGGCCGUUUGCUUUAAAAAAAACAGAAAGGGAAAGUAAAAGAAAAAUUCUCGAUCCAAUUUUUCUUUGACGAAUCGACGAGACGAUAUUAUAGAGACAAAGAAUCGAUGGGAGAAUCAGUGGUUAGAUCUAUCGAUCUUGAUGGAUAGGGCGUUGGUGAAGAUCGAAACUGUUGCUUGGUGAAUGUUUCUCAUGAAUCGGAAUCACGGAUGAAUAAGAUUGAUCAGUGAUUUGCUUGGUCACUUAAGAUCUCCGAGCAAAAACAACUUCCAACUUUUUAGAUGGAUAAUAACAGGGGGUCUUGUAGUGACAGAGAGUACUGGUAGAACUUUAUUAAUGCGACUCCAACCUCAAUCAAGAAAACCACAAUCUUGAGAAAAGAUAAGUUUUUAUUAGAUGUAACCUCACCGCAUACAAUUACUGUGAAAUAUUUAAUAUUUUGUAAAUCUAAACGGUUAACUAAUGUUUUCUCUUAAUUUUACAGAACAAAGUCUAUAUAAUGUAUGAUGAUGAAAGACAUGAGGCAAAGUCAAACAAAACUUGGGCACCAGUAUGUAAUGACAUGUAUCCAACCAUUCUGCAAUGAUAUAAUCUGUAAAUUACUAUUAAACAUUUUUCAGAAUUUUAGAAGCUAGGAAUGGAACUGACUAUCACUAGUUAGGAUUGAAACCGGAGUUUGAUUGAUUGAUUUGGUGUUAUUAUCUGUAGAUAGGAGAAUUAUAUUGCUUUCUGCAACGUAGAACUUUUCCUAAAGUUUAUUUUUCGUGUUAGAAAUAAUAUAUCAAAUAAUUUUAACAACAAACAUCAUAUGUUUGUUUCUGAGGCUCCACAUCCUCACCAAAAACUCAUCCCAGCUUCCAUUCAACAGCUUCUCGGGAGAUUCAGCAACAAUCCCAUUAGCAACUUUAUCUAAGAUCAUUAUUUUUGAGACGCCUGUAUCAUCA
Molecule: long non-coding RNA, 1010 nt
Organism: Brassica napus (rape)
Lineage: Eukaryota; Viridiplantae; Streptophyta; Magnoliopsida; Brassicales; Brassicaceae
Exons: 3
Source: RefSeq, a predicted model, not a curated record